GAGAAGGAGCAGGAGGCCCCCGUGCAGUCUGUGAGGCUGAGAAGCCUGGCCUUUAGGCAGGAGGAGAAGCUGGGAUCCAUGUCACUUAAGCAGUGUAUGGGCAAUGUCACAGCCAUGAAUGGAGGAAAGCCAGGGACUGAAUCCUAAUCCAGCCAGAGGGUGAUGAGAAAGAUGGACUUGGACUUCAAAGAAAUGAAAAAGCAUCAGAGAGAAGGAGAGACAGGGGUCUCAGAUACAGAGGCCACCGUGAAUCACAUCACCCAGCCCUGCAGUUGCCUUGCACCUCCUGCAUUAGCGGCACCAGUGAUGCGUGUCUGUCAUCUCCCCUGCCACGGUUUGCAUCCCUAGCCCAGCACCGGGAUGGAUGAAAGGGAUCAGAGUCCAAGAGGAGCCUGCUCUUCAAAAAUGCCUAGCGACAAACAGUCCUGGGAGGAUGGCCACAGGGAAAUGGAAGAGAAAACUGAAUUAUUCUGAUUUACCUUCUCUUGUUAAUCGGGUCCCUUUGCAACCACUAGAGACUUUCAGGAAAAAAAAUCAGCUUAUUUAUCUCCUUUCAUAUGGAAUGUAGGUUUUUGAGGUCUCAUUCUAUAUUCCUUAUGUAUCCUUAAAGAAAUACUCUAGAGAUAAGACCAGUUUCUGGAAGAGGUGGGGGUGAGUUAAAGAGAGGAGCAAAUUCUUCUCUGGCCCAAGAAAGAAAAUGCAGCUCAAUUUCUUUUCAGGACCCCAGGAAAAGUCCUCAUGUCCAGAAACUCAUCAGAUUCACUUUAUCUUUGUGAUCCUCUCUGAGUCUAUCUCUGCUAUUAAGGUUGUUGCUGCCCAAAGACUCCCCACACACAACUCACCGAAAGGGGCUGGUGAGAAUGUCAGGCCUGCCCCCGAUUCAGUAGCUCAGUGACUAGAACUAACUCUAAUUUCAAGGUUGAGGAUUUUAUAAUUUCAGAGGUUCCUGGGGCAACUGUUUCUGGAAAAUAAACAUCCUUGAGAGUAAACUGGAUUUCUUGGAUGAGUGCACUGUAUGGGUGCUGUGUCUUGGAACAGUCACCUCCUUUCGUCUUCUGCACACAGGAUAAGAUUUUACUCAUUUUUCAGUCUUGGUCAAGGGAGUAGAGGACAGAGUUUUAGUGAAGGAGGGAGCCUGCCUUAGGCAUGCAUUUGAGCCCCACUAUCCACUAUUUUUUUUUUUUUUUUUUUUUUUAUUGAGACUGAGUCUUGCUCUGUUGCCCAGGCUGGAGUGCAGUGGCACAAUCUCGUCUCACUGCAACCUCUGCCUCCCGGGUUCAAGAGAUUCACCUUCCUCAGCCUCCCGAGUAGCUGGGACUACAGGUGCCUGCCACCAGACCCAACUAAUUUUUUGUAUUUUUAGUAGAGAUGGGGUUUCACCACGUUGCUCAAGCUGGUCUCAAAAACUCCUGAUUUCAGGUGAUCUGCCCACCCCGGCCUCCCAAAGUGCUGGGAUUACAGACGAGAGCCACUGUGCACAGCCUAGCCCCACUCACUCUUGACUCUUCACAUCUUCUUGGUUUUUUAUUUUUUCUUGGUUCUUCAUAUUUCAUUUAUGAUUCUCUUGUACCUAAGUUUUGAUGACUAAUUAGGGUAGAGAAAAUGGAGACCAACAGAUAAAGGAAAGCCAACCUACACAUUCAUAAAGGUCCUUAGAGGGCCUGUGAAGUAUUUUUACUAUUUCAAACAUGAAAAAUAUGUGUUUAUUUGAGGAACAGUGCAACAGGUGAACUACAAUAUCUGUGUCUUUUUCCUUCAUUUGGAAUUGAAUUGGUUCAAAGUGGCAGUUCUGCUUAUCUGAAGCUGAUCAGAGCUGUGAUUGGCUAUGAUGUCAGCACUAUUUCUUUUUCCAUAACACUUUGAUCUUCUAAUAUGUUACAUUAUUUACUCAUUUAUGGUGUUAGUUGGAUUGUGUUAGUUCUCUUUCUAGAAUGGAAAUUCCAUGAGGAUGGGGGAUUUUCAAAUAUUUUGUUCCCUGUUAUAACCCAAGCCUCUAAAACAGUGUAGGAAGUACAAUAUUUAUUGUGAAAAACAACAAACAAAAUGAGUAUUUAUAGAAAGUUUGAAUUCAAGCCAGUAAUUUGUUGUAGAGUUCCUACCUUUUCUUUCUUUCUUUCUUUUUUUUUUUUUUUUUUUGAGAUGGAGUUUCACUCUUGUUGCCCAGGCUGGAGUGCAACGAUGUGAUAUUGGUUCACCACAACCUCCGCCUCCUGAGUUCAGGCAAUUCUCCUGCCUCAGCCUCCUGAGCAGCUGGGAUUACAGGCAUGUGCCACCACGCCCGGCUAAUUUUGUAUUUUUAGUAGUGCCCGGCUAAUUUUGUAUUUUUAGUAGAGACGGGGUUUCUCCAUGUUGGUCAGGCUGGUCUCAAACUCCCGACCUCAGGUGAUCCGCCUGCCUCGGCCUCCCAAAGUGCUGGGAUUACACAUGUAAGCCACCGUGCCCGGCCUAGAGUUCCUAUCUUAUCUACAUUCUCUUCUUGUCCCAGAAUGAAUGCAGAGAAUUUCAGGGGUUCUCCAAACCCCCUACCGACCUAGUUUAACUGUACUGGAUGACAAUAUCCGAGGAAGCCACUAAUAGAGAGAGAAGAAUGUCAUGGAAAGCAUACCAGCUGGGUCAUUGCAGCUCUUUCCCUGACUACCUGGUUGGUGACCCUGGGCAAAGUGCAUGUAUCUCCCAACCUCUAACGAAUGAUAAAAGUACCAACUUCACUGUAUCUUUGAGAGACUGAAACAAAGUAAUACAUGCCACAAGUGGUGAGCCUGUUGUUUGUCACAUAAUAAGCAUUCUACAAAUGUUAAUUUUUCUCUUCUAACUUUGAUAGGCAAUAAAACCAAGGGGGAAACAAGCUAUAAAGUGACGCAUUUUUCACAGCAAUAGCUCCUAGGGGGUAAGUAUUGUUUCUUUUGUGAGUUCUUAACAGUUUCUUACUUCUGAGUACUCAAAGAAACUAUAUCAUCACUAAAUAUUACUUUCCAGGCCAUUAACCUAUCUUAUCAGAGGCAAGUAAAAAAUAUUAUCAUUUGAUUAUUGACUUACUACAGCUACUAUUCACAUGUGUGUAGGGUACUUCCUUCUCCAAUUAGAUUAUAAAAGCUACCUGUAUUUUCCAUAGUGACUUAUAAUACUGCUUUGUGUGGACGUGGCCAAUAUAUUUUGUUCACAGGUUGUUUAAUGAAGAGUUUCUAACAUUUUAUUAAACGUCACAUGCUGUGCUUAAUGAAGAGAAGUUCCCCUAAAUCCCAAAGCAUAGAAUACAUCAGUCUUAUGCCUGAGCCCCAUCAUGGGAAUUCUGGGUCAGGUUUACAUGGGGAAGGCAGAGGCAUCCUGCUAUUCUGCACCUCUGGCAUGCCUGGGUCUCUAGAUUCACUGCUGCCAUAUCCCUGGGAGCUGGUGCCAAAGGACUGUCAGUAUGUCUGGGCACCUUCCCGAAUCUCAAACACAAGUGGAAAAACAUAGGCUCUUCUGGGGAUACAAUUGAUAGAUGACAUUAAGCAAAUUGCUUGGGAGUUGAUGACUAAACAAGGCCUCAAGGGUCCAGCCCAGGUAUAUGAAAGAGGACUUAGGAAGGUAACAGCCUAGACAUGAACACAUUUUUUCUCAGGUGUUAUCUUAGCCUCAUUUUCAAAAGAAUCACUCAGAGAGAUUUUUGAAACAUAGAUUCAUAUGUCCAGCCCUAGACCUGCUAAAUCAAGAUUUCUGUAUUUACAAAACAAAACAAAACAACAACAACAAAACCUUCUCAGAAGAUGUUGGUGCAGCGAAUCCAGUUCAUUAGCAAUAGAAUUACUAAAUUUUUCUACACCUAUUGUUGCCAAG
This 3816-nucleotide long non-coding RNA is filed under the name Homo sapiens (human). RNAcentral describes it as "HSALNT0183112". Lineage: Eukaryota; Metazoa; Chordata; Mammalia; Primates; Hominidae. The record is from RNAcentral.